Molecule: transfer RNA, 82 nt
Filed under: Candidatus Nealsoniibacteriota bacterium
Lineage: Bacteria; Candidatus Nealsoniibacteriota
Description: Candidatus Nealsonbacteria bacterium tRNA-Leu
Rfam family: tRNA
About the family: Transfer RNA (tRNA) molecules are approximately 80 nucleotides in length. Their secondary structure includes four short double-helical elements and three loops (D, anti-codon, and T loops). Further hydrogen bonds mediate the characteristic L-shaped molecular structure. tRNAs have two regions of fundamental functional importance: the anti-codon, which is responsible for specific mRNA codon recognition, and the 3' end, to which the tRNAs corresponding amino acid is attached (by aminoacyl-tRNA synthetases). tRNAs cope with the degeneracy of the genetic code in two manners: having more than one tRNA (with a specific anti-codon) for a particular amino acid; and 'wobble' base-pairing, i.e. permitting non-standard base-pairing at the 3rd anti-codon position.
Source: RNAcentral
GCCCGAGUGGUGAAAUUGGCAAACACGCUGACUUCAGGUGUCAGUGUCGCAAGAUUUGGGAGUUCGAAUCUCCCCUCGGGCA